This is a long non-coding RNA of Onychostoma macrolepis, 1188 nucleotides long. RefSeq lists it as uncharacterized. Lineage: Eukaryota; Metazoa; Chordata; Actinopteri; Cypriniformes; Cyprinidae. The record is from RefSeq and is a predicted model, not a curated record. The transcript is spliced from 4 exons.
AAAAAACAGUAAACCACCCUUUAAGAGCGAGUUGCGUUCGCGCCAUGGCGGAUUUAAACAGCGGAAUUUUAAGGCGCACAGCCAGACUGAAAGCCUCUCCAGAGAGCAAACGGAUCUGUUCAUGCGCGAGCAAAUAGGCUGUCUAAGAUGUAGAAGAGUUUGUUUCACAAUAAUUCACAAGCAAUCCACACAACUCCAGUCGAUCAAUUAACAUCUUGUGAAACAAAAGGCUGCGUGUUUAGGAUCUACUGGUGAGAAAAACAAAACAAAAAAAAACUCAUCUACGUCUUGCAUGGAAUGAGGCAUGCAUGACAAGCGGCUAGCUAAAGCAUCUCUGAGUCAUAACUCCAGCCGAUGGGAUAUGCAGCUUAAAAUUAAGAACACAAUCACAUCUCUAUAUCAUCUCUGCUUGAGGCAUAAGGCAUAAAAUAAGCCCUCAAACGUCAUCCGCUUUUGCCUCGGGGUGUCUUACGAAGAGCCUUGUGUGAUUCUACAAAGUGUCAGAGCGUAACAAGAGACUAUUUUCUGAUUUUUCUGAUCAUUUUCAGACUGCACAGAAAGUGAAACAAUGUAAAAAAAAUAAAAACUGGUUGCAAAAAUUACAUUUUUUGGGUUUCAUUUGCUGAUGGUUUUGAUUUUCGUAGGCCUUAAGUUGCUUUAGUGGUAGAAGCUUCUGUGCUUCCCCUACCUUGAAAGGCACCAGCCGCCAUGUACCCUCUUAGAGAACGAAGAUUUACCCUUUCCCUCAAAAACGUAUGUUCUUCCUUUUUCUUUUUGAAUGAGGCAGCAAAAUCUGCGGUCAUUCCCCUGACUGACAGCUGUAAAGCUGACGUAUCAUUAGUCAGAACAUCUGCCUGGUCUGAUCCAGGCACCAGUCCCCAAACACUUUUGUUCAGCAUAAUCUCACCGCUGUUUGAUUAAGCUGUCGGAGGCACACAGAGGUUGCUUGCGCUUUAAGACGAAGCUGGGAGACAAAUGUUAAGAUGGAGAAACAGCUGUUGGUUGUGGUCGAGGGCUGCGAGGAGAGUCUUUGCUGACGGUGAUGCGUAAAUUCCCAGCUGCUUGCACGACUCCCUUUUGCCACCUGUGCAGUUUUAAUGCAUAAUUUACUGCUAAAGUGUCUGUCCCCGUCUGAAUUACGGGUCCAAUUUGUAUGCUUCUUAAGUUGCUUUUGAAAAUGAGCCAUGU